UUGGUUGUUAUCUUUGGUUAUCUAGCUGUAUGAGUGAUGUACAUUCUUCAUAAAGCUAGAUAACCGAAAGUAACAAGAAUCCCAUUACACUCCUGAAAAGGCAUCAAGACCCCCAACACGCCUUCCCUGCACAAACACACACUCCACCACACGCAAAAACAGCAAAAAACAACAGAAGACGAACUGCCAAGACGUUAAAGGACAUGGGAGCAAAGCGCAAUUGGAAGGCUGCCAGCGCCACGCCACUGAGGGAAAGCUGGCAAAAGGGAGACUGAAAAACAGAGAGAGAGAAGGAGGAGGGGUUGCUGUUGAUUCUGCCCUCCCUCUCCUCGCCCUCCUCUGCAUCGCCUCUCCCCUCCUCCCUUCCUCCUUCGCUCCAUCCUCAGCAGACUGCCCCUUUUUCCUGUACAGCGAGACGCAGCCCGCGCCACCAUCUUAGAGCAACGCUGGCAUGAAAUGGAAGUGGGAAGACCAGUGCAGGUGAACGUUGGUGAGCGAACGCAGGGGGCUGGACGGAGCGCGCGGCGGGGAGGACAGCGGGACUCGUCUCAGCCGCUCGGCGCCGAGUAAACGAGGACGGCGGCGCGCGACGCCACGGCGAUUUCUGCCCUGACUUUUGAACAGCGGCGCGCCCUUUUUCCACGGCCGCCGUGUGAUCCAUGAUGUGGCCCGCCGGUCGAUUCUGGACUGGCGUGUUUUGAACGCCUCGUUCCGGCCCAAAAGGGAACGCACGGUGGACUCUGAGCGUGGAGGACGAGGCUCGCCGGCCCGGAGGAACGAACGAGCGGCAGCAGCUUGAGCCGUGGACGCGCCUGUCUUGUCGUGAUGGUGUGGCAAUACGAUGUUUCUGCAUCUAGAUGUUUCCCGGAGCAGUGUGUCCUGCAUCACCUGACAGUAGCUUACACAGUUUUGUAAUCAUGACUCUUGUGUGUGUGACGGUUUAGUCUCCAUGUUGUAGGCAUGAAGCAACACAAAGUGUCCCUUUUCGUCAGGCCCCAUGCAUUAACCUGAAGCGUAGCCCGCCUUGUGUUCGAUUUCUGUUUCGUUCGUGACUCGUUGCUAGGACUGAAAGACGCGUGAAUGUGAGACCCACGGCAGCAGUGAAGAAUACUGCACUGUGAUUGGACGGCUCCGUGUGUCGACUGGCACAAUGGCGAAGGAGUGAGCUGUCGUCUUUAUACUCUAUGCAACUGUUUUUUCUUUUCUUUUCUGUUUUUUUUUUUUUUUUUUUUUUUGGCUUGAAACCCAGUGGGGCGGAGCGUCUUUCACCCUUAACUCUGGAUUCUAUUUUUUUUUUUUUUUUUUUUUUUUUUUUUUUUGGGCUACCACUUUAUAGAAAAAACCCUCCCAGACCACCAAGAAAAAUGAUUUUAAGGAGCCUACAGUCCCAAUGUAAUGUACUGCAACAGAAUUUACACUGUGUGUUUGUGUGUUUGUGUGUGUGUGUGUGUGUGUGUGUGUGUGAUUAAGACAGAAUGCAGCUCAGUCCCAGCAGUGACUGGAUGUAUUAAAUCUAACAUUUUGAGUCAGGGCUUCUCCAUAACAGACUUGGCUGUGCUGUAUAAAUGGAUGUGAGACUUACACAUUUUAAUAUUCCUGAUGGCAGAAGUGUGUGUGUGUGUGUGUGUGUGUGUGUGUGUGUGAUCAGCAGGAAGUGGCUGAGCUGGUCUCAUGGCCACACACACACAACAUGCUAUACUAUUAAAAUCUUCCCAGCAGGCUUGGAGAUGCAGCGAUUUGGCUCAUAGCAGCAACCUGCAUCUGUGUAAUGAUACGUCUUUGGGUGAGACAUGACAAAUACAUUGGCUUCAAACACUGCCUUAAUUUCCUGUCCUUGACAUUAAAACACAUAGACACACACUCGCGCACACACACGCCGCACACGCGCACGCGCACGCACACACAUGCAAAUGCAAUAAAGCAAGUACUAUCGCGGCCUAAUUCAUUCUAUAUUAAUUUUCGGGAAGUGGCAAAUUUUUUAUUACGAUUGAUAAUCUAUGCAAAUCUUUUAAAUAUUACUUUUAACAAUCUAUGCAGUGCUUUUGCAAUUGAUUCAAGGGAGACUAUCUUGGCCUAAUUUAGAAAAUGUAUUCUUUUGAUAAUCAUGCACAUCCCAGUGCUCAAGACAAUUACUUAUCUGCCUGGAUAAGCUUGAAAUUAUGUUUUUAAUCUCUAGUAAAAAAAAAAAAAAAAAAAAAAGAAGUCACUCCUCUGAUAUCAGUCCAGAGGCAUAAAAACCAUAAAUUGUGGUCUCAAAUAAUUCAAUUGGUUGCACUAAAUCUGUCCCUUUCUCUUUUUACAUAGAUCAAACAUAUCUGCUCAGAUAUGCCCUCUUUUUGCGUGUUGUUUUUUUUUUUUUUUUUUUUUUUUUUUUCCAUGAGCAAUGUUUGUGUUUUGCAAUCGAAUGGCUCUGAAUGAGUGUUCACCACAUGUGCCUUUGUAUGGAAAAAAAAAAAAACUGUGUCCUUUCUUGGAAUAGUAAUAAAGGUUUACAUUGAAAACAACGGAAAA
Molecule: long non-coding RNA, 2511 nt
Organism: Myripristis murdjan (pinecone soldierfish)
Lineage: Eukaryota; Metazoa; Chordata; Actinopteri; Holocentriformes; Holocentridae
Exons: 3
Source: RefSeq, a predicted model, not a curated record